Molecule: ribosomal RNA, 902 nt
Filed under: uncultured bacterium
Lineage: Bacteria
Description: bacterial SSU rRNA
Rfam family: Bacterial small subunit ribosomal RNA
Source: RNAcentral
AGAGUUUGAUCAUGGCUCAGAGUGAACGCUGGCGGCGUGGAUUAGGCAUGCAAGUCGAGCGAUCCCGCAAGGGAUAGCGGCAAACGGGUGAGUAAUACGUGAGUAAUUUACCCAUGAGUUUGAGAUAGCUUCGCGAAAGCGGAGGUAAUAUCGAAUAAGACCACGGAUCGUAGGAUUUGUGGUAAAAGAUAUUCGCAAGAAUGUUGCUUAUGGAUGAGCUCACGUCCUAUCAGCUAGUUGGUGGGGUAAUGGCCCACCAAGGCUAAUACGGGUAGCUGGUCUGAGAGGAUGGUCAGCCACACUGGGACUGAGACACUGCCCAGACUCCUACGGGAGGCUGCAGUCGAGAAUCUUUAGCAAUGGACGAAAGUCUGACUAUGCGACGCCGCGUGAGGGAUGAAAUCCUUCGGGAUGUAAACCUCUUUCGAUCGGGAAGAAAGGCCUCGUUGAGAGGAGCUGACGGUACCGAGAGAAGAAGCCACGGCUAACUCCGUGCCAGCAGCCGCGGUAAUACGGGGGUGGCAAGCGUUACUCGGAUUUAUUGGGUGUAAAGGGCAGGUAGGCGUUCCAAAAAGUUUCAGGUGAAAUCCUUGGGCUCAACUCAAGAACUGCCUGAAAGACUGUUGGAAUUGAGUGUGAAAGAGGAGAACGGAAUUCCCGGUGUAAGGGUGAAAUCUGUAGAUAUCGGGAGGAACACCAGUGGUGAAAACGGUUCUCUGGUUCAUAACUGACGCUGAACUGCGAAAGCUAGGGUAGCAAACAGAAUUAGAUACUCUGGUAGUCCUAGCCGUAAACGAUGAGCACUAGGUGUUGGCCCGCAAGGGUCGGUGCCGUAAGAUAACUCGUUAAGUGCUCCACCUGGGGACUACGGCCGCAAGGUUAAAACUCAAAGGAAUUGACGG